Microcebus murinus (gray mouse lemur) is the source of this 2197-nucleotide long non-coding RNA. RefSeq lists it as uncharacterized. The record is from RefSeq and is a predicted model, not a curated record. Lineage: Eukaryota; Metazoa; Chordata; Mammalia; Primates; Cheirogaleidae.
CGCCGGCUGCCCGGAGGGGAUGGCCCCGCCCCGCGGCCCUCCUGGCUCUGCGAUUGGCUCUGUGGGAAGCGGGCGGGAACGGAGCGCGGAGCCAACGAGAUCGCGUCAGGCGCCGCGAGCGCCGCUUCCUGUUGUCAGUGGCCGUGAGGCCGCGGCGUCGGCUCCGAGGCUGAGGGGCUGCCGAACCAGGAGCUCCCACGCCUGCUCCCGCUCGGUUUGGCUUAACCACAGGAAUUAUCUCUUGGAGUCUCCCCACAGGUUCAGUGUCGCUGACCUCCAUCAGAACGUCUACCACUGCGACCUGUGCACCCAGCGUGGCUUCAUUUGCCAGAUCUGCCACCACCACAACAUCAUCUUCCCCUUUGAGUCUGACACCACAGCCAGGUGUGCCGAGUGCAAGACCGUCUUCCACCAGAGCUGCCAGGCCGUGGUGAAGAAGGGCUGCCCCCGCUGUGCCCGCCGGCGCAAGUACCAGGAACAGAACGUUCUCACCUAAUCCCCACCUCCAGACCCCACCCUCGAGGUCAGGGGGUGAGUGCCAACAGCCUGGGCCGCGCAGUCUCACAGUGUCACAGCUGUGUCCCCUUGGCGGGAAGACCCUCAGAUGUGACCAGAGCACAGGCCUCCCAGAGAAAGCCCAGGAUGCCCGAUGAUGCUCCAGGACCACCCUGCUACCCUCUGCUCUGGGGGCGGGAGGGGUGGGUGCCACACGAUGUCCUAUCUGGGGGUAGACAAGGGCCUGUUCCUAACCAGGCCCUGGUCACCACCGUCAUGGCACCUCCAUUAGGUGGAAACACUGUGGAAAUGAGACUUGGAAGCAUUUUCAAUUACAUGUUCUUGAUUAAAAGGUCUAGUUUUUUAAGGUGGGUUUUUCUCCUUCAUAUUGCAACAGAAAAUAUUUUUUUAUUCUUGACCCUACACAAGUCACCCAUGAAAUCCAGGCAUUCUUACCCUGAGCAGAUGCACAGGAGCCACUCAGGCCUGGCUGGGCAGACGGGCAGGCCAGUGCUACCAACGCCACAGCCCCACCUGCUGUGGGCUCUCAGUCACAACCCCUGCCCGCCUGAGCCCAGAGAGGGCAGCGAGCCCAGGCAGGGGCUGGCCUCAGGCACCGUGACUGCCAGGCCCUGCACUGUGGAGAGGUGACCGGGUCCUUCCACUGCUGAGAUGUGCAGGGACGGGCAGAGAAGCUACCCUGAGGAAGCAGCCCCAGCCUCGGUCUUACAAAGCCAUCAAUUCCCAAAGCUUCGCUGGACUUCCCCAGCAGGGCGCUGCCGGACACGGGGAAAGUUCCGUGGCGCAGGAUUGCCUUUUGAUGGGGGUCUUGGGGCUGGGGUGGGAGCCUAGAAUUGUUUGCACAGUUACGUUGAGACCCUUGAGGUUGGGGGGCGGGUGUGCUCCCUGUGCUCCCUCUGUUGCUUCACACCUGCCCGCCCACCGCUGGACCCAGCAGGCCCUCUUGUCUCAGCCCUGGGGUCCCCAGCUUAGAGUAGGAGGCCUCAGGUGGAGUCUGCCUGUCACUGUCAAGAAAUGAGCCUGCCCACCCCUCCCUGGGGGUGAUCUGCUGCUGAGUCACCAGCCCAGCUGAGGAGCUGGAAGAAUGCGCACUAGAAGAGAGGAGGCAGCGGGCAGGCAGGUGGAGGCACCACACGGCUCCUCCUCCCUGUCACGGAGGAUGGUGGCACCUGUGCCCAAACCCACAGCCUCCUAAACCCACAGGCGCGUCCUUAUCCUCACCCCAGCCCCGCAGCCCGCAUUGACGCUCACCGUGAACACCGCCUGAUCGGAGCCAGCGCUGCCCAGUCCCGGAGUGCCAGGAGCCUGGCCCUGGUGGGCUUGGGCCUGUUGGGCCAGUGAGGAUAUCCCCCUGCCCCCGAAGGUGCCCUAGGAGGCAGCAGGGGUGAGGCCCUGGUUGGAGGGGCCUCCCCCACCCGCAGGAUUGUUAGCAUUAGAGCUGCCCCCACCCUGUGACUGUGACUGAGAAGCUGCUAGUGCUUUCAGAGGAGUUGACUCUUACCCAACAGUGGAACGCUGAUGUGAACCUCAGUAGUGCCCACACUAUUUUAAAAUGUUAUUUUAUGCAAUAAACUGUUCCUAGUCAGUGGGGGCAUGGCCCUGAGAAGUGCUUUGUAUUGAAGGAAUUGCUGCCGUGUUGUGUGAUUUUUGAAUGAUUUUGCAGUAAAGACCUGGUCUUUCU